This 79-nucleotide microRNA precursor is filed under the name Pongo abelii (Sumatran orangutan). RNAcentral's name for it is "miRNA". Lineage: Eukaryota; Metazoa; Chordata; Mammalia; Primates; Hominidae. The record is from RNAcentral.
AAUACUAGGUUGGUGCAAAAGUAAUUGCAGUUUUGCCAUCAUGCCAAAAGCCGCAAUUACUUUGCACCAACCUAAUAUU